AUAUUCUUCGGUGAGAGGGGUAUGAGAACCCCCGCCGGGGUUCGACAACGGGCGCAGCCCGUUGGACAGCGGAGCCUGCGACGCUGCCCGCAGGGCGAGCGCAGCGAGUCAAUCCCCCUCUCACCGCCA
This is a non-coding RNA of Pantoea sp., 129 nucleotides long. NCBI's taxonomy places the organism in Bacteria, Pseudomonadati, Pseudomonadota, Gammaproteobacteria, Enterobacterales, Erwiniaceae. The record is from Rfam.